This 372-nucleotide ribosomal RNA is filed under the name uncultured bacterium. RNAcentral describes it as "bacterial SSU rRNA". It matches the Rfam family "Bacterial small subunit ribosomal RNA", at positions 527 to 896 of the family's 1533-position model. The record is from RNAcentral.
GUAGGGAGCGAGCGUUGUCCGAAGUUACUGGGCGUAAAGCGCGCGUAGGCGGGUUAUUAAGUGAGAGGUGAAAUUCCGAGGGCUCAACCCAGGAACUGCCUCUCAUACUGAUAGUCUUGAGUGAGGUAGAGAGAAGUGGAAUGGCUGGUGUAGCGGUGAAAUGCGUAGAUAUCAGUCGGAACACCGGUGGCGAAGGCGGCUUCUUGGGCCUUUACUGACGCUGAGGCGCGAAAGCCAGGGUAGCGAACGGGAUUAGAUACCCCGGUAGUCCUGGCCGUAAACGAUGGAUACUAGGUGUAGGGGGUAUCGACCCCCCCUGUGCCGCAGCUAACGCAUUAAGUAUCCCGCCUGGGGAGUACGGCCGCAAGGUUG